This 498-nucleotide ribosomal RNA is filed under the name uncultured bacterium. RNAcentral's name for it is "partial 16S ribosomal RNA". It matches the Rfam family "Bacterial small subunit ribosomal RNA", at positions 29 to 523 of the family's 1533-position model. The record is from RNAcentral.
AAUGAACGCUGGCGGCAUGCCUUACACAUGCAAGUCGAACGGUAACGCGGGGCAACCUGGCGACGAGUGGCGAACGGGUGAGUAAAGCAUCGGAACGUGCCCAGUAGUGGGGGAUAGCUCGGCGGAAGCCGGAUUAAUACCGCAUACGACCGAAGGGUGACAGGGCGGGAACGCCAGACCUCGAGGUAUUGGAGCUGGCGAUGUCAGAUUAGCUAGUUGACGGGGUAAAAGCGCACCAAGGCGACGAUCUGUAGCUGGGCUGAGAGGACGACCAGCCACACUGGGAAUGAGACACGGCCCAGACUCCUACGGGAGGCAGCAGUGGGGAAUUUUGGACAAAGGACGAAAGUCUGAUCCAGCCAUGCCGCGUGCGGGAAGAAGGCCUUCGGGUUGUAAACCGCUUUUGUCAGGGAAGAAAUCCUUUGAGCUAAUACCUCGGGGGGAUGACGGUACCUGAAGAAUAAGCACCGGCUAACUACGUGCCAGCCGCCGCAGUAA